UCUACGGGGGGCUGCAGUGAGGAAUAUUGGUCAAUGGGCGGAAGCCUGAACCAGCCAAGUAGCGUGCAGGAUGACGGCCCUACGGGUUGUAAACUGCUUUUAUACGGGAAUAACGCGCCUUACGUGUAGGGCUUUGCAUGUACCGUAUGAAUAAGGACCGGCUAAUUCCGUGCCAGCAGCCGCGGUAAUACGGAAGGUCCGGGCGUUAUCCGGAUUUAUUGGGUUUAAAGGGUGCGUAGGCGGAUUUUUAAGUCAGCGGUAAAAUGUCCGGGCUCAACCCGGGCCGGCCGUUGAAACUGGGGAUCUUGAGUGGGCGAGAAGUAUGCGGAAUGCGUGGUGUAGCGGUGAAAUGCAUAGAUAUCACGCAGAACUCCGAUUGCGAAGGCAGCAUACCGGCGCCCGACUGACGCUGAGGCACGAAAGCGUGGGGAUCGAACAGGAUUAGAUACCCCGGUAGUC
RNAcentral lists this ribosomal RNA (459 nucleotides) under uncultured bacterium. RNAcentral describes it as "partial 16S ribosomal RNA". It matches the Rfam family "Bacterial small subunit ribosomal RNA", at positions 338 to 795 of the family's 1533-position model. The record is from RNAcentral.